ACGGGGAGCAGCAGGCGCGAAAACUUUGCAAUGUGCGAAAGCACGACAAGGUUAAUCCGAGUGAUUUAUGCUAAAGAAAUCUUUUGCUAGUCCUAGAAACACUAGUGAAUAAGGGGUGGGCAAGUUCUGGUGUCAGCCGCCGCGGUAAAACCAGCACCUCAAGUGGUCAGGAUGAUUAUUGGGCCUAAAGCAUCCGUAGCUCGUUUUGUAAGUUUUCGGUUAAAUCCAUACGCUUAACGUAUGGGCUGCCGGGAAUACUGCAUAACUAGGAAGUGGGAGAGGUAGACGGUACUCGGUAGGAAGGGGUAAAAUCCUUUGAUCUAUUGAUGACCACCUGUGGCGAAGGCGGUCUACCAGAACACGUUCGACGGUGAGGGAUGAAAGCUGGGGGAGCAAACCGGAUUAGAUACCCGGGUAGUCCCAGCUGUAAACUAUGCAAACUCAGUGAUGCAUUGGCUUGUGGCCAAUGCAGUGCUGCAGGGAAGCCGUUAAGUUUGCCGCCUGGGAAGUACGUACGCAAGUAUGAAACUUAAAGGAAUUGGCGGGGGAGCAC
Molecule: ribosomal RNA, 553 nt
Filed under: uncultured archaeon
Lineage: Archaea
Description: bacterial SSU rRNA
Rfam family: Archaeal small subunit ribosomal RNA
Source: RNAcentral